RNAcentral lists this transfer RNA (71 nucleotides) under Sphaerodactylus townsendi. RNAcentral describes it as "tRNA-Ala". Lineage: Eukaryota; Metazoa; Chordata; Lepidosauria; Squamata; Sphaerodactylidae. The record is from RNAcentral.
GGUCCAUGGCUCACUGGUAGAACACCUGCCUUGCAUGCAGAAAGUUCCAAGUUCAAUCCCUGGUAUCACCA